GACGAACGCUGGCGGCGUGCCUAAUACAUGCAAGUAGAACGCUGAAGGAGGAGCUUGCUUCUCUGGAUGAGUUGCGAACGGGUGAGUAACGCGUAGGUAACCUGCCUGGUAGCGGGGGAUAACUAUUGGAAACGAUAGCUAAUACCGCAUAAGAGUAGAUGUCGCAUGACAUUUGCUUAAAAGGUGCAAUUGCAUCACUACCAGAUGGACCUGCGUUGUAUUAGCUAGUUGGUGAGGUAACGGCUCACCAAGGCAACGAUACAUAGCCGACCUGAGAGGGUGAUCGGCCACACUGGGACUGAGACACGGCCCAGACUCCUACGGGAGGCAGCAGUAGGGAAUCUUCGGCAAUGGACGGAAGUCUGACCGAGCAACGCCGCGUGAGUGAAGAAGGUUUUCGGAUCGUAAAGCUCUGUUGUAAGAGAAGAACGAGUGUGAGAGUGGAAAGUUCACACUGUGACGGUAUCUUAACAGAAAGGGACGGCUAACUACGUG
RNAcentral lists this ribosomal RNA (495 nucleotides) under uncultured bacterium. RNAcentral describes it as "partial 16S ribosomal RNA". It matches the Rfam family "Bacterial small subunit ribosomal RNA", at positions 28 to 507 of the family's 1533-position model. The record is from RNAcentral.